CCUACGGGUGGCAGCAGUGGGGAAUAUUGCACAAUGGGGGAAACCCUGAUGCAGCGACGCCGCGUGAGUGAAGAAGUAAUUCGUUACGUAAAGCUCUAUCAGCAGGGAAGAAAUACUGACCUUACGGUCAGCAGACGGUACAUGAGUAAGAAGCCCCGGCGAACUACGUGCCAGCAGCCGCGGUAAUACGUAGGGGGCAAGCGUUAUCCGGAUUUUCUGGGUGUAAAGGGAGCGUAGACGGGGCGCCAAGUCUGGAGUGAAAUGGCGCAGCUUAACUGCGGAACUGCUUUGGAAACUGGCGAACUAGAGUGCGGGAGGGGUAAGCGGAAUUCGUGGUGUAGCGGUGAAAUGCGUAGAUAUUAGGAAGAACACCGGUGGCGAAGGCGGCUUACUGGACCGUAACUGACGUUGAGGCUCGAAAGUGUGGGGAGCAAACAGGAUUAGAUACCCCAGUAGUC
RNAcentral lists this ribosomal RNA (458 nucleotides) under uncultured bacterium. Its description in RNAcentral is "partial 16S ribosomal RNA". It matches the Rfam family "Bacterial small subunit ribosomal RNA", at positions 338 to 795 of the family's 1533-position model. The record is from RNAcentral.